Molecule: long non-coding RNA, 2216 nt
Filed under: Salmo trutta (river trout)
Lineage: Eukaryota; Metazoa; Chordata; Actinopteri; Salmoniformes; Salmonidae
Description: lncRNA (ENSSTUG00000015552.1)
Source: RNAcentral
UCGGGAAGGCGGAGCUCUAGAAAGAUGCCCGAGUUUCUGACUGGGAUUCCCGAGUUGUAUGACCAUUCACCACUAUUUUUCCCAGAUUUUCGAGUUCCCAGUUGUUUCUGAACGCGGCAGAUGUACAUACUGUAACCGCGAGUCAUUUUCUGAUUGCGUCACCAGAAAGCGUCACAUUCUUCUCCAAAACCGUUUGGUUUAUUGUGUUUAUUUAGGGUGGAUGUGCCCCGGCUGCCAUCGACCCUCAAAAUGACCAAAUUACAGUUUCUAAAUGUCUUUUUGACCGAACGGUUGAUGUUAGCCGCUCAAGAGAUAUAUAAGCAAGUGGAAGAGACAAUAUUAGAAUACCAGGAAGAAAUAAUCCAGGGAAAGAGAGAGAAUGAUCAAUUGAGACGCAAGUUUGGGAUUCCAUGGCCAGACCGAGAGCCCUUUGCUCCUGUAGAAUCUGAGGAGGAGGGAGGCAUUGGGCAAAAGCAGGAACCAGAGCCAAGGCAGACUAUGGAGAAACAGGAGGGAAGGACCAGUAUGGAGGAAAAUCAGUUUAGAGGACCGGACUCUCAGUCUAGAUUGACUCCUUCCAAUGGAAACGAUGACUAUGAUCAGAACCCACCUCAACACGCCUCAGUCAGUCAGUUCCAAACUCACACCGGGGAGAGUAGAGGGGGAGGCUCUCUGUCCAGCUCAACAUCCAAACCAAUCAAAACAGAGACUGAAGGACUGGGUGUUUGUCCAUUUGAUCCGUCAAGUGACCCCAAUACAUUCUCUUCGUCAGUGAACCUUGACCUUUCGGCAGCACAGAGUGAGAACAGUUGGUGGAGGUUUGGAUGAUUGUCGUCCCUCAAAACAUUAGAUGUCAAGAAGAUGUUAGAAGGUGAAAAGUUGGGUGAAUGAGCGAAGCUGGUGAUUCAACGGAAAGAAGCAACCCUCCAAAGCGGGAGAGCUUCAUAACUGCUGAAAAUCAGCUAAGUCGGGACUAUGAAAACACGGAUGACUUCUGGUGCUGUGCGGUGUGGAGGGAAGGCCAGGAGGAGGUGGAGGGUGUGGUUCCCAGUACCUGGGUGGUGGGCAGGAAGGUCCUGUGGCCUCCAGCCAAUGGGAGGAAAGCUCUGAAAGAGAGACACAAGCCAGGAGCCAAUUGGAUGACAUAUGACCUUGUUAAGGUCAAACUAUUCUCAGAAUCUCUGGAAGAGUGUGAAGGCUACAGUAGGUCCAGUGAUGAGCUCACUGACAACGGAGACAGUGAGCCCAACACACAGAAGAAGAAGAGGAGGAGGAGGAAGAGGAGGACGGGUGAGGGGCACGUUACCGGCACUGAUCAGAUACCUCAAGGAGGACCCAGUGGAGAUGGAAGGAUACACACAGGUGUGUCAGGAUCAUCAAACUCUCCUCCUCUGAAGAGGAGAGUGAUGACGAAAUCGGGUACCCUGGAGGAGAGUUCUGGAGCUCUAGAAGCAGAACCUCAGCUGGACCCGUCUGAGCUCAGAGGCCUUGACGACUCACUCAACAAGGAGAGCUACCUCAUAGAGGGACCACACUCUUCUGACGCAUGGGAUGCUGUUUUUCCAACCUCUCAGUCCAGAGAGGGAACAUUCCUAAGUGGACAGGAUGUGAUGGGAAACCUGCUGAAUUCAACCCAAAGUUUUCCUCUUCCAAAUGACCAGUUCCAGGAGCAGGUCCUGGGUCUGCUGGUGGACAUCAGACAGUCCGUGUGGGAUCUAGGAGGAAGGGUGGGAGUUCUAGAACACUGGGGUGGUUCUAGGAGUUCUGGAACAGAUUUCCAUUUUGACGUGUGCAGAACCCACGAGGACAUGGCCAACCUGGAGAAAGUUCUAGAGCCUCCGGAGGUAGCUGCCCAGAUGAAACAGUUCCUGAGCAGGAUCGGUGGGAACACUUUGAGGGAAAAUGUCACCAGGGUGAUGGAGAGGCUGAUGACCAACGAACUGAUGAGUACCUUCAACAUGAAAGGAAGGAAAGGAACCAAGAAGAGCUUUCUCACACACUCCCUUAGCAAAAUCAUUAUUGACAGCAUCAUGAUCACCCACCCGUACGCCACAGAGUCUGCUGUGAUGCACCUGAUGGCCAACGUACUGAAGUACGCCCCAGACCGACGCGGAGGAGGAGGCAGACCCCCCAGACAGUCACCCCAGGUCCCCCAUACCCAGAGACAGCAACACAUCCAACAACACAUCAACAUCAAACAGGAGCAAGACUAUUAA